GGAAACUAGUGCGACCCUCCCUCUGUCCCCUCCUCAGGUGGACGGCAUACUAGAAAACUGGAUCUGGCAGAUGGUGGCCGCGCUGAAGUCUCAGCCGACCCAGCCAGUGAACGUGGGGCUGGUGGACUGGAUCACCCUGGCCCACGACCACUACACCAUCGCCGUCCGCAACACCCGCCUUGUGGGCAAGGAGGUCGCGGCUCUUCUCCGGUGGCUGGAGGAAUCUGUUCAAUUCUCUCGAAGCCAUGUUCACCUAAUUGGGUACAGCCUGGGUGCACACGUGUCAGGAUUUGCCGGCAGUUCCAUCGGUGGAACGCACAAGAUUGGGAGAAUCACAGGGCUGGAUGCCGCGGGACCUUUGUUUGAGGGAAGUUCCCCCAGCAAUCGUCUUUCUCCAGAUGAUGCCAAUUUUGUGGAUGCCAUUCAUACCUUUACCCGGGAGCACAUGGGCCUGAGCGUGGGCAUCAAACAGCCCAUAGGACACUAUGACUUCUAUCCCAACGGGGGCUCCUUCCAGCCUGGCUGCCACUUCCUAGAGCUCUACAGACAUAUUGCCCAGCACGGCUUCAAUGCCAUCACCCAGACCAUAAAAUGCUCCCACGAGCGAUCGGUGCACCUUUUCAUCGACUCCUUGCUGCACGCCGGCACGCAGAGCAUGGCCUACCUGUGUGGUGACAUGAACAGCUUCAGCCAGGGCCUGUGCCUGAGCUGCAAGAAGGGCCGCUGCAACACGCUGGGCUACCACGUCCGCCAGGAGCCGCGGAGCAAGAGCAAGAGGCUCUUCCUCGUAACGCGAGCCCAGUCCCCCUUCAAAG
RNAcentral lists this small RNA (815 nucleotides) under Pan troglodytes (chimpanzee). RNAcentral's name for it is "retained intron". The record is from RNAcentral. Lineage: Eukaryota; Metazoa; Chordata; Mammalia; Primates; Hominidae.